UGGGGAAUAUUGCACAAUGGGCGAAAGCCUGAUGCAGCGACGCCGCGUGAGGGAUGACGGCCUUCGGGUUGUAAACCUCUUUCAGUAGGGACGAAGCGCAAGUGACGGUACCUGCAGAAGAAGCACCGGCUAACUACGUGCCAGCAGCCGCGGUAAUACGUAGGGUGCGAGCGUUGUCCGGAAUUACUGGGCGUAAAGAGCUCGUAGUCGGUUUGUCACGUCGUCUGUGAAAUCCUAGGGCUUAACCCUGGACGUGCAGGCGAUACGGGCUGACUUGAGUACUACAGGGGAGACUGGAAUUUCUGGUGUAGCGGUAGAAUGCACAGAUAUCAGGAAGAACACCGAUGGCGAAGGCAGGUCUCUGGGUAGUAACUGACGCUGAGGAGCGAAAGCAUGGGUAGCGAACAGG
RNAcentral lists this ribosomal RNA (409 nucleotides) under bacterium. Its description in RNAcentral is "partial 16S ribosomal RNA". It matches the Rfam family "Bacterial small subunit ribosomal RNA", at positions 355 to 776 of the family's 1533-position model. The record is from RNAcentral.